UUCACCAAGGCAGAGAAACAAGAUUAACAAAAAAAAAAUUAUUUGCAAGUGAGAACAGUCUUCCGAGAAGAUGGAGAAGUCGAAAGACCCACGAGACGUCGGACUCUGAAUCGGACAAUGAAGGAACCACCAUGAUGAGGUCAGGUUACCCUCUUAACCGCAUGAGCGUCUCGGAUGAAUCGUUCGGGUUUGACAUCCGGCGCCAACGUGGGCCCAACUCAAAGGCCUUGCAAACCGGCCGUGGCAAUCGCUACAGCCGCGGAAAUUACCCGAGUUCCUAAGCAUACUGUAUAUAUAUAUAUAUAUAUAUAUAUAUAUAUAGAGAGAUAGGGUGGCUAUGGAGAUAUGAAGACAUGCCCCUUAGUUUAAGACCCAUAUAAAUUAUGUAUUAUGUCUGAAUGUAAUAAAUAAGGAUACAAGGAUGGAUGCCUCAUGUAAAUAUCAAUGAUGAUAACUCAUCGGUAUCAAUGUCAUGCGGUUUCUUUGCAAAGCAA
Long non-coding RNA from Eutrema salsugineum, 494 nucleotides. RefSeq lists it as uncharacterized. The transcript has 2 exons. Lineage: Eukaryota; Viridiplantae; Streptophyta; Magnoliopsida; Brassicales; Brassicaceae. The record is from RefSeq and is a predicted model, not a curated record.